GUUUUGUUGUUGUCGGGUGGAUCACGAUGCAAUUUUGAUUAGUAAGGUAGGAGAAAAAUUGCACGGUAUCCAUCUGGAAACCGCAAGAC
This 89-nucleotide microRNA precursor is filed under the name Echinops telfairi (small Madagascar hedgehog). Its description in RNAcentral is "microRNA 363 (ENSETEG00000022406.1)". The stretch from base 6 to 85 matches the Rfam family "mir-363 microRNA precursor family". The record is from RNAcentral. Lineage: Eukaryota; Metazoa; Chordata; Mammalia; Afrosoricida; Tenrecidae.